CUCUCCUCUCCUCCUCUAAUCAUGGACAACAUCCUAUAUUUAAUGACGGGUCUGCAUGGAUGCAAUACAGGCAGUCCUCAAUUUACAACAGUUCCCUUAGAGACCAUUCGAAAUUACAACGGCAACUGAAAAAGGUUACUUAUAGCCGUCUUCUGACGGUUGCAGUGUUCCUACAGACACAUGGUCCAAAUUUGCACACUUGGCAACUGACUCGUAUUUAUGACAAUUGCAGCGUCCCAGGGUGACCUGUUCCCCUUUUGCGAGCUUCUGACAAGCAACAUUAAUGGGGAAACCAGGUUCACUUAACAACCGGGUUACUAACUCAACAACCGCAGGGAUUCCCUUGACAAACGUGUCUCACUUGGCAACAGAAAUUUCGGGAUCAAUUAUUGCCGUAAGUCAAAGACUGCCUGUAUUGAAGGAAGCAAACUUCUACUCCGUGUUGGAAACUGGCUAUUAUUAAACCGGACUGUAUUCGGUUUAAUAAUAUUCGGCCUUAUUAUAACUUAAGACCUCAUGUGAUCAAAAUUUGGAUGCUUGGCAACUGGUUCAUACUUACGACGGUUGCUGUGACCCAAAGUCAGGUGGUCCCCUUUGGCGAUUUUCUGACAAGCAAAGUCAACAGGGAAGCCGGAUUCACUAAACAAUUGUGUUACUGGCUUAACAACUGCAGUGAUUCACUUAACAAUUGUAACGAGAAAGAUUAGAGAAUGGGGCAAAACUCACUUAACAACUCUCCCGUUUAGUAACAGAAAUGUAGGGUUCAGUUGCGGUCAUAGGUCAAGGACUACUUUGGGAAGGUCCGAAUGAAGAACCGAGCAUCUAUUUAAUACAGGUAGUCCUCGACGUACAACCACAAUUACGACCAACAUUUCCGUUGCUGAGCAAGGCUAAGUGAGACAUGCACGAUUUUGCAACCUGUUUUACCUGGUUGUGAAGUGAAUUUUUGCAGUUGUUAAAUGAGUCACAUGGUCAUUAAGCAAAUCUAGCUUUCCCCAUCGACUUUGCUUAUCAGAAGCCGCCUGGGAAGGUUGCAAAAAGUGACCACAUGAUUUCAGGAUGCUGCAACCCUCAUAAAUAUACGUUGGUUGCUAAGCACCCAAAUUGUGAUCGCAGAUGCUGUCAUAAGUACAAGGAAUGGUCAUGCCAUUUUUUCCAGUGAUGUCAUCUUGAAUGGUCACUAAAUGAAUAGCUGCACCUUAAGGACUAUUGUGUACUAAAAAGAAGAGGUAAAGCUUAAAAAGCUAAAAAUAAAGGAGUCCCAGUGGGUUUUACUGUGCUAGUCAUUGCCAACUCCAGAGGGUGUUGCUCAUUUCCAUUUCAAGGCCAUUGAGCCAGCCCUGACCAAAGAUACCGUGUGUUCUGUCCCCUCCCUUCCUUCCCAAAACAAUACACUAGCCGAGGCUGUCUGCCAGCAAUUUAUUUACACUUGGCCGGGUUCCUUCUGGCAGCAAAAGUUCUGGCAACAUUCCUUCACAUGCCAGCCAAGUCCUUAUCAAGCAGCAGCGUGCCGACAGGCCAUUGCCAGGGCAACCAGGUGUCUGCAGGAUGAUCUAAAGUACUCACAAGUAAUCCCAGCCUUCAGUCCAAAGCAGUCCAAAAGCCAGUAGUCCGUAACUUUGUCCAACACAAGGGCCUACGGAGCACUCUCCCUGCUUUUAUCCCCUGUGGGGUGUGGCUCCAUAACUCAGCACUCCCUGGGCCUGCCCCACCCUUUCCUCUGCUGCGCACGCUUCUCUCGGCAUCACUGUUUCACAUCUAGCCAAGAUUGAUCCUCAGCAGCUGGUUCUUGGGGCAUUGCCAGGGAGGAGGAGGGGUCGGGGGAAAGAGGCCUUGUCAGCUCCUCCUCCUGGCCUGCAGCUGGAAUCUGGGACAGUGCCAGGGAGGAGGAAGAUCCAGGGGGGGAAGGAGGCCUUGCCAGCUCCUCCUCCUAACUUUCCGAGUCAUCCGGCUCCAGGAGGCCAGGCCCGGGGCCCAGAGCCACAACACCGUGUUUCCCCGAAAAUAAGACCCUGUCUUAUAUUUUUUUGAACCCUGAAAUAAGUGCUUGGCCUUUUUUGGGGGGAGGUUUUAUUAUUUUGGGGCAUGUGGAGCAAGAUGGGGCUCCUCUUGCUGUCUUACCUGAUUUCCAGCUCUACGUUUAAAUAUUUUCAGGGAGGGCUUAUUUUCGGGGGGAGGAUUAUUUUAGCGCAUGCGCUCAAAAUCCCGAUUGGUCUUAUUAUCGGGGGAUGUCUUAUUUUUGAGGAAACAGGGUAUUGCUGCAAUCAUGUGGCCAGCAUAAAAUCACGGAACGCUGUUACCUUCCCACCAAAGUGGUACCUAUUUAUCUAUUCACAUUUGCAUGCUUUCAAACUGCUAGGUUGGCAGGAGCUGGAGCGAGGACGGGAGCUCACCCCGUCGUAUGGCUCUCGGGUCUUGAACCUGGGCUGCUGGUUUUCCAGCUGACAAGCUCAGGGUCUUAGCCACUGAGCCAUUGUGCUGCCAGGAGAGCUUGGGUGACAAGGAAUUCUAAGGGGGAAAAAAAACUUUUGCCAUUUGGGUGCUCCAGUCAGUUUGAUUCCAUCUUCCUAUUUUACAACUCUUUUGUGAGCUUGACUCACAAUGAAGUUACAGUGGCAGCUUACAGAUGUUUCAUCUUAAUGGCAAAGACCCUGCAUAACAUUUGGAAGCAUCUAAGGGCCCACUUUGCUUGAAGCAAGAUCCUAGCCAGGCCUCUUUGCUUAUUUUGUCAUAUUUUGUAGUCACUGCAGACAUUCAUGAUCAGGGGUGAAAUCUAAAAAUUUUCCCUACCGGUUCUGUGGGCGUGGCUUAAUUGGUGGGUGUGGCUUGGUGGUCAGGUGACUGAAUGGGCAUGGCCAAUAAUAAUAAAUAAUAAAAAUAAUAAACAAUAUACAAAACUUGGGAGCGCACCGGUCUACCUUCUUUAAAAAUAGAAGCUCCGGUCUACUAAUUGCCUUUUUUUGGGAGGCACCGGUCUACCUUCUUUAAAAAUAGAGGCACCGGUCUACUAGCCGCCUACAGCGCUGAUGAGCUGUAGUGCGACCUUUUGAAGCGCUGCGGCAGUCAUUUAAGACUGUUAGCAGCUAUAUCACGACCGAGAGCUUCAGGGACAGAGAAGAGGAACAGCGAGGCGUGGGCGGUGGGGGGAGCAGGGAUUUUUGCUACCGAUUCUCCGAACUAUCCGUCCCCAUUGCUAAUGAAUCGUGCGAUCCGGUCCGAACCAGGAGCAUUUCACCCCUGUCCAUGAUUGUGUGAGAACAUGGAAUAUGCUAAGAAAAUUCUUCAAAAUCCACAGGAAAGUCUUAUUACAAAAAACUAUUUAGUACGCUUUCCAAUUACUCAUCAAAUGCAACUGGAAAUCACUGUCGUAGCAUUUUCCUAACAAACCAUUUCCAGAGAUAAUUGACCAAAUGGGGAAUUAAGCUAUCCAAGAAUAACUUCUUUACAAUUCUCCAUUUCUCUACAGCUAUUUCUUU
This is a long non-coding RNA of Ahaetulla prasina, 3476 nucleotides long. RefSeq lists it as uncharacterized. The transcript is spliced from 2 exons. The record is from RefSeq and is a predicted model, not a curated record. NCBI's taxonomy places the organism in Eukaryota, Metazoa, Chordata, Lepidosauria, Squamata, Colubridae.